GCUGUAUGUAGGUGCUGGAGGGCUGCGGGAGGCGUGAGGAAAAGGGCAUCUAGAAUUUAGCAUCCAAACGCUGUUCGCUCGCCAGCGGCGCGGAUUGGACGAGAAACUUGGGCUCCCUCAGCCUCUGUUUCCCCCUCUGUAGCGCCGCCUACCGUGCAGGCCUUGGCGAGCAAUCUGAGGUGAUGCGGAAAGCGCCCUGGGCGGGCGGGCGCGCGCGUCUAUCCCUGCGCGCGGGGCGCAGAGCCUGCGAGUCGACCCAGCAGAGCGCGGAAAGAGUCCUAGCCGUAGCCUCAGUGCCGGAGAUGGAACCUAGGACCUUGUGCAACUGAGUUCGGGGUGACUUUGAACUCACUUGUAGCCCAGGCUGGCCUCGAACUUGUGGCAAUCCUCCUGCCUCAGCCUCCUAAGUGCUGGGAUUACUGGUGUGUGGCACCAUGCUUAGGUGCCCUUCCCUUUUGAAAAAGAUCUCCCUACUUUCUAUUAUCUAUCCUUUAUUUUGCUCUUUAUUUAUAUUUUGGGUUUGUCAUAUAAUAGAAACCAUGCAAUAUUUAAA
This is a long non-coding RNA of Heterocephalus glaber (naked mole-rat), 553 nucleotides long. The record is from Ensembl. Lineage: Eukaryota; Metazoa; Chordata; Mammalia; Rodentia; Bathyergidae.